RNAcentral lists this ribosomal RNA (253 nucleotides) under uncultured bacterium. RNAcentral's name for it is "partial 16S ribosomal RNA". It matches the Rfam family "Bacterial small subunit ribosomal RNA", at positions 524 to 776 of the family's 1533-position model. The record is from RNAcentral.
UACGGAGGGUGCAAGCGUUUCUCGGAAUCAUUGGGCGUAAAGAGCGUGUAGGUGGUUAGACAAGUCAGAUGUGAAAUGCCUGGGCUCAACCGAGGAAGUGCAUUUGAAACUGUCUAGCUAGAGGAUGGCAGAGGGAGGUGGAAUUCCUAGUGUAGAGGUGAAAUUCGUAGAUAUUAGGAGGAAUACCAGUGGCGAAGGCGGCCUCCUGGACCAUUCCUGACACUGAGACGCGAAAGCGUGGGGAGCAAACAGG